GUUAAGAAAUGGCUUAAAAUUGGUAGUGGAUUGUUGUUGUUGGUAGUGGGUUGUUGGUGGUAGUGGAUUAGUGGAUGGUUGUUGGUGUCCAUUUUCAACCACAAAUCUUUGCCAAAGUUUUGGACAAUUAUGUCCUUGAACUCUCUUAUAAAUAGAGAGGUUCAUUAGCCAUAUUCAUCAUCCCAAACCAAGAGAGAGCAAAGCUUGUUCUUUGAAAGCUAGGAUUUUAGCUUUCAGGUUUUCUAUAGGGGUUGACAGUCGUGAGGUUCUCGGGUUGUGUCUUGAGUGUAAAACACUUGUAAUCUUCAUCUUGUUAUAGUGAAAUUUCUUUUCGCCUCUGCCCGUGGACGUAGGCAUUAAAGCCGAACCACGUAAAUCCUUGUGUUCACUUUAUUUUUCGUUUCGGUCAAUUUACUUGUAGUCAUAUCGGAGUUCUCGAAUCGAUCCUUUCCGCAACAAAUUGGUAUCAGAGCGUAGUUGAAGGAGUGAUAAUAUUUUCUGAAUUGCCCUGUGACUGCAGCUUUGUCUGAUCUUUCACAUCAGGAAGAAAAUAUUAUCAUUCAUUCAAAGGUUCCAAAUUAUGGCUACAAGUGUUUCAUCGACUAAGUAUGAUGUCGAGAAAUUUACCGGGAAAAAUAGUUUCAGUUUAUGGCGCAUCAAGAUGCGGGCAGUGCUGGUUCAACAAGGAUUGCUAAAAGCAUUGUCUGGUAAAGAUAAAUUACCAAGCACGCUUUCGGAAGAGCAAAAGGAUGACAUGCUAGAAAGAGCACAUAGUGCUAUUCUGCUAUGUCUAGGAGAUGAAGUGCUACGAGAAGUAGCGGAUGAGAAAACCGCGUCCGGUUUGUGGCUCCGGUUAGAGAGCAAGUACAUGACGAAGUCAUUGACGAACCGGCUCUACCUCAAGCAAAGACUCUAUGCCCUGAAGAUGGAGGAAGGUACACCUGUUUCCCAGCACCUGGAUAAAUUCAAUUCCAUUAUCAUGGAUUUGAAUAAUAUUGAUAACAAAAUCGAUGAUGAGGACCAAGCAAUAAUUGUUUUGUGUUCUUUGCCUCCCUCGUAUGAGAAUUUUGUUGAUACAAUGAUGUACGGUCGUGAUGACCUGACUCUAGAGGAGGUGAAAAAUGCCUUAAGUUCCAGUGAGUUGAGGAAGAAAAUCACUGGUAAGGUGGUCGAAAACAAUGAAGGCGAAGGCUUGGUUGCUCGAGGAAGAUCCAAGGCAAAGGGUGGAAGUUCAAGUAAAAGCCAUCCUAGAUCGCAGUCCAAGAAGAGAAUACAGUGCUACUACUGUAAGAAGUACGGGCACAUGAAGGUAGAUUGUCCGAAAAGGAAGGAGAAAUCAGAAUCACAGGAGCAACAAAAUGAUCGUGCGAAUGUAGCUGAUGCAGAUUCUUCAAGUGAUGCCGAGAUCGUUCUUGCAGUAUCCGACUCUUACGCUGGUGGGAGAUGGAUUCUUGAUACGGGAGCUACAUUUCAUAUAAGUACUUCGAAAGAUGCAUUCUCAACAUACGAGAAGCAUUCUGGUUCAGUACUAAUGGGAAAUGACCACGCAUGUCAAGUCAUGGGGAUUGGCACAGUUCGUAUAAAGAUGUUUGACGGUAUUGUUAGAACUCUAACUGAUGUUCGGCACAUUCCAGAAAUGAAGAAAAAUUUGAUCUCUUUGAGUACGUUGGACAAGAAAGGCUUUCGGUACUCUGCUGAAGGUGGAGUUCUCAAGGUAUUCUCGGGUGCUUUGACUGUGAUACGUGGUAAUUUGGAGCGGGGCCUUUACUUCCUCGAUGGUUCCUCGGUUACAGGUGUUGCGGGAGUGUCAUCAUCAGAUGAUCUAGAUUCUGACACCACGAAGUUAUGGCAUAUGCGGCUCGGGCAUAUGAGCGAGAGAGGCUUAUCGGUGCUAAGCAAACGAGGAUUAUUGUCUGGGCAGUGUACAGGAAAGUUGAAUUUCUGUGAGCACUGCGUCUUCGGUAAGCAGACUCGGGUAAAGUUCAGCACUGGGAUUCACAAGACAAAAGGCACAGUGGAUUACUUCCAUUCUGACCUUUGGGGGCCUUCUCCGACAAUUUCUAAAGGUGGUUACAAAUAUCUGCUUACCUUUAUCGAUGAUUACUCGAGAAAGGUUUGGGUGUAUUUUCUGAAGAGCAAGUAUGAGGUUCUCAUCAACUUCAAGCAAUUUAAAGCUUUGAUCGAAAAUCAAACAGGAAAGAAGAUCAAGCGAUUCCGGACGGAUAAUGGCUUGGAGUUUUGCUCAGGUGAAUUCAAUGAGUUCUGCAAAAAUGAAGGAAUAGUGAGACACCGCACUGUUCGUCGAACACCACAACAAAAUGGAGUUGCAGAACGCAUGAAUAGAACUCUCUUGGAGCGAGCUCGUUGCAUGCGAUCAAAUGCUGGGCUCGGUGAAGAAUUUUGGGCUGAAGCUGUUAAUACUGCUUGUUAUUUGGUUAACAGAUCUCCGUCAACAGCUAUUGAGCUGAAGACUCCUGAGGAAGUAUGGUCUGGUUCUCCUGCUGAUUACUCUGGUUUAAGAGUGUUUGGCUGCCCUGCGUAUGCUCAUGUAAAUGAGGGAAAACUCAAACCGAGGGCGAAGAAAUGCAUAUUUCUUGGAUACGGCCAAGGGGUGAAAGGAUACAGGUUGUGGUGUCCUGAUCCGGUUUCGUCCAAGUUCAUCAUCAGCAGAGAUGUGACUUUUGAUGAGUCAUCCAUGCUUCGAUCCACCACAAAUUCCCGGGAAAAGGAGGAGUCAGAUAGAAUGGGAGAUCACGGUGUUGAGAAGCAGGUGGAGUGUCAGGUGGACGCUCCAAUUCCUACGGAAGGUACUUCAGUCCAGGAUGAUCAAGUUGAGGUGCAAGAUUCCGAUGAAGAUGAGUCACCUCAAGAAAAACCAUAUAGCAUUGCCACUGGAAGAACGAAGAGACAAAUCAAACCAAAUCCGCGUUACGCUAAUCUGGUGUCUUUCGCGCUCAGUGUGGCGGAGUCCAUUGGUAUAGAACCUUCCAGUUAUAAUGAGGCUGUCACGUGUGAUGAGUCGGCACAGUGGGCAAUUGCUAUGAGUGAGGAGAUAGAAUCUCUUCACAAGAACCAUACUUGGGAGUUGGUUAAGCCGCCAAGUAACCAGAAGAUAGUUGGUUGCAAAUGGGUCUUCAAGAAAAAGGAAGGCAUCCUAGGGGUUGAAGCAACUAGAUUCAAGGCACGAUUGGUUGCUAAAGGCUUCACUCAGAAAGAGGGGAUUGACUACAAUGAAGUUUUCUCUCCAGUCGUAAAGCAUUCUUCCAUUCGUGUAUUACUUGCCAUGGUGGCCAAGUCUGAUCUAGAACUUGAGCAGCUUGACGUAAAAACGGCGUUCUUGCAUGGUGAGCUCGAGGAAACAAUCUACAUGCGUCAACCAGAGGGUUUUACAGUUCCUGGUAAAGAAGACCAUGUCUGUCUAUUAAAGAAGUCUUUAUAUGGAUUGAAACAAUCCCCAAGGCAGUGGUACAAGCGGUUUGAUAGCUUCAUGAUUCAGCAUGGUUACACAAGAUGUGACUAUGAUGCUUGUGUCUAUCAUCGGAAGCUCUCAGAUGGUUCGCACAUUUAUUUGUUGCUGUAUGUUGAUGACAUGUUAAUUGCUUCCAAAAACAUGUCGGAAAUCAACAAGUUAAAGUCGCAGUUGAGUGGUGAGUUCGAGAUGAAGGAUCUGGGUGCUGCCAAGAAAAUUUUGGGCAUGGAUAUUCACAGAGAUCGCAAGGCGGGCAAGCUUCGUGUGUCGCAGAAGAACUACAUUGAAAAGGUUCUUCAACGCUUCGGCAUGGAUAAAGCGAAAACUGUGAGUACUCCGUUGGCACCACAUUUCAAACUCUCUGCAGAGUUGUCACCACAAUCUGAUGAAGAAAAGCAGCAAAUGUCUCACAUUCCAUACUCGAGUGCAGUUGGAAGCGUGAUGUAUGCAAUGGUUUGCACUCGUCCAGACAUUUCACAUGCAGUUAGUGUGGUCAGCAGAUACAUGAGUUGUCCUGGCAAGGAACACUGGCAGGCCGUGAAAUGGAUUCUCAGGUACUUGAGAGGUUCUGCAGAUUUAUGCUUGGUAUAUGAUCAGAGUGACUGCACUAGCAGUGUCACGGGCUAUGUGGACUCUGAUUAUGCUGGAGAUCUGGACAAAAGAAGAUCUCUGACGGGUUAUGUUUUCACUUAUUCUGGAGGAGCCAUUAGUUGGAAAGCUGUGUUACAGUCUACCGUAGCCUUAUCUACGACUGAGGCGGAAUAUAUGGCGUUAGCAGAAGCAGUGAAAGAAGCAUUGUGGAUGAAAGGUCUAGUAAGCAGUUUGGGUUUACAACAGGAUUUCACUGUUGUAUUUUGCGAUAGCCAGAGUGCCAUACAUCUGACUAAAAAUCAGAUGUUUCAUGAACGGACCAAACACAUUGAUGUCAGAUAUCAUUUUGUUCGGGAACAUGUUACGCAAGGUGACAUUGUUAUCAGCAAGGUUGCUACCGAGAAGAAUCCUGCAGAUAUGUUAACUAAGGUGAUCCCUGCAUAUAAGUUCAAGCAUUGCUUGGACUUGAUAGGUAUUCGGGAUUGAUUAGCGCCAGAGAGGCGUUUGGAAGAGGUGAUCCAGUUCGAGGAAUUCACUAUGAUGUUCAGCUUGGUAAAUUUCAAGCCAAGGUGGAGAUUUGUUAAGAAAUGGCUUAAAAUUGGUAGUGGAUUGUUGUUGUUGGUAGUGGGUUGUUGGUGGUAGUGGAUUAGUGGAUGGUUGUUGGUGUCCAUUUUCAACCACAAAUCUUUGCCAAAGUUUUGGACAAUUAUGUCCUUGAACUCUCUUAUAAAUAGAGAGGUUCAUUAGCCAUAUUCAUCAUCCCAAACCAAGAGAGAGCAAAGCUUGUUCUUUGAAAGCUAGGAUUUUAGCUUUCGGGUUUUCUAUAGGGGUUGACAGUCGUGAGGUUCUCGGGUUGUGUCUUGAGUGUAAAACACUUGUAAUCUUCAUCUUGUUAUAGUGAAAUUUCUUUUCGCCUCUGCCCGUGGACGUAGGCAUUAAAGCCGAACCACGUAAAUCCUUGUGUUCACUUUAUUUUUCGUUUCGGUCAAUUUACUUGUAGUCAUAUCGGAGUUCUCGAAUCGAUCCUUUCCGCAACAUAAAAAGAAGUGGUUGCAUGAUCUGCUACACCUGAAAGAUGGGUGCAGGAGGUAAGCAGAUCUGUGCACAUGCUACACAACGAGGUUCGCUGCCAUAUUCUUCAUUGUUUUGGACAAGAGCUAG
This 5221-nucleotide long non-coding RNA is filed under the name Gossypium barbadense (sea-island cotton). RNAcentral's name for it is "long non-coding RNA (GBAR_LNC012074)". The record is from RNAcentral. Lineage: Eukaryota; Viridiplantae; Streptophyta; Magnoliopsida; Malvales; Malvaceae.